RNAcentral lists this ribosomal RNA (444 nucleotides) under uncultured Actinomycetes bacterium. RNAcentral's name for it is "uncultured actinobacterium partial 16S ribosomal RNA". Lineage: Bacteria; Bacillati; Actinomycetota; Actinomycetes. The record is from RNAcentral.
CGAUCCCACCUUCGACGGCUCCUUCCUUACGGUUAGGCCACCGGCUUCGGGUGUUACCGACUUUCGUGGUGUGACGGGCGGUGUGUACAAGGCCCGGGAACGUAUUCACCCCGGCGUGCUGAUCCGGGAUUACUAGCAACUCCAGCUUCAUGGAGGCGAGUUGCAGCCUCCAAUCCGAACUGAGACCGGCUUUAUGGGAUUCGCUAAACCUCGCGGUUUCGCAGCCCUUUGUACCGGCCAUUGUAGCGUGUUUGCAGCCCUAGACAUAAGGGGCAUGAUGACUUGACGUCAUCCCCACCUUCCUCCGAGUUGACCCCGGCAGUCUCCUACGAGUCCCCACCAUUACGUGCUGGCAACAUAGAAUAAGGGUUGCGCUCGUUGCGGGACUUAACCCAACAUCUCACGACACGAGCUGACGACAGCCAUGCACCACCUUCAUUGAGC